UGGGCGUAAGCGCGCGCAGGCGGUUUCUUAAGUCUGAUGUGAAAGCCCACGGCUCAACCGUGGAGGGUCAUUGGAAACUGGGGAACUUGAGUGCCGAAGAGAAAAGCGGAAUUCCACGUGUAGCGGUGAAAUGCGUAGAGAUGUGGAGGAACACCAGUGGCGAAGGCGGCUUUUUGGUCUGUAACUGACGCUGAGGCGCGAAAGCGUGGGGAGCAUACAGGAUUAGAUACCCUGGGAGUCCACGCCGUACACAAUGAGUGCUAAGUGU
This 268-nucleotide ribosomal RNA is filed under the name Priestia megaterium. Its description in RNAcentral is "Bacillus megaterium partial 16S ribosomal RNA". It matches the Rfam family "Bacterial small subunit ribosomal RNA", at positions 555 to 823 of the family's 1533-position model. Lineage: Bacteria; Bacillati; Bacillota; Bacilli; Caryophanales; Bacillaceae. The record is from RNAcentral.